AAAAUACUCUACAGUUAAUCGCAUUGACAGGCAAUGAUGACUCUUGGGCAUGGUUUGAACAGCUAGUUGGUAGAGGAAGGCACUCUGUCUCAUAUGGAAAGUAGCUUCAUCUUCAGUAAGAUCUACUAGUUGUCUGAAUUUCUUGUCUACAUUACUGCAAUCUACGUGGCAUGCCUUUGCUUGAGCAAUUACAGAUUCCAUCUUAGGUAGCUUCUGAUCAAUCAGAGGAGGAAGAUCUUUGUCCACCGUAGUUACACUAAGCACCCGCUCAAAGUCUUGAAUGUUUUGCUUCAUUUCAUGCGACAGCUUGUCAAGGGCCGGAAGCUUCGCGAUGCUAGGGUAAUAUGCCCGAGCCACAUACAACAAGUCUUUCAUCUUUCUAACAGUGAAAUCAUUCACUUUCUCCUUAUGAUUGCGACGCCAUAAACAGUAGCUCCCAAAUUUUAGCUCACAUAAUUUCUCACCCUCAUCAAUGUCUCUGAUAUUCUCAGUGGCACCAGGCGUAGAACCAACAUUGGUGCUCUGCUUUUUUUUCCCCAAGUCACCAGCACCUAUGCUCUGCUUUGCUGUUGCCAAGUCACCAACACCUGUGCUCUGCUUUGUUUUUCCCAAGUCACCAACAUCUCUGCUCUGCUCUUUUUUUCCCAAGUCACCAACAACAGUGCUCUGCUUUGCUUUUGCCAAGUCACCAGCACCUGUGCUCUGCUUUGUAUUUGCCAAGUCACCGACACCUGUGCUGUGUCUUUUUUUGGUUAAGUCGCCAACACCUGUGCUAUUUACUCCUAAGCGUUCUUUGGGCAAUCCAUCCAACAAAGGAAAUCCAGCAGUCUUGUUCUCCGCUUUCCCGACAACAAUAUUUUCCCCAAAAUCCUUGGGAAGAGUUGGUUCCAAUCUUUGCAUUAGGUCAUCCACAUGUGUUGACUCAUCAUCCUCCGACUGAUUCUCAAUCUUAGGAGUAUAAUGUCGACCGUAGAUUCUAAGUCCCACUGAAGCUGAACUUUGUUGUGGUGUUGUAUAUCCCGAAGAGUGAAAACCGUUAUGGAGGCCAAGCAGAAACACUAGAGGCACGAGCAAUGAAAGUAAAACGAGACCCAACACCGCAAUCACCAAACCUUUCCAUCGCCUCUUCGCCGGAAGUAUACCACCCUUCAUCUCUUCCUCCCUUGCCUAAUCCUCCUCCUUCUCCUCUCGUUUGCCUUCUCCACCUUCGCAAUUCGCUUUGAUUUGUUCUCCUUUCCCCAACUGCCAAACAGCGUUUGCUCCGAAUCUACACAACACGACAAUGUCCGUUUCCGGUAAUCUGUAUGUCCGGCGCCGUCGAAAGUAAAUCGUCCGGCCGAGGCCCG
RNAcentral lists this unclassified non-coding RNA (1346 nucleotides) under Hevea brasiliensis (rubber tree). The record is from RNAcentral. Lineage: Eukaryota; Viridiplantae; Streptophyta; Magnoliopsida; Malpighiales; Euphorbiaceae.